This 396-nucleotide RNase MRP RNA is filed under the name Laccaria bicolor S238N-H82. Its description in RNAcentral is "RNase MRP". It matches the Rfam family "RNase MRP". Rfam says of the family: RNase MRP is an enzymatically active ribonucleoprotein with two distinct roles in eukaryotes. In mitochondria it plays a direct role in the initiation of mitochondrial DNA replication. Lineage: Eukaryota; Fungi; Basidiomycota; Agaricomycetes; Agaricales; Hydnangiaceae. The record is from Rfam by way of RNAcentral.
UUGCUGUUUGAAGAAUCGUUGUCGCAGCUCACGCACAGGGAGCUUCUAGCUCUCUCUAUCCGCUGUGGGGAAAGUCCCCGGAGAUACAGGGCGUGUCCUCGUCCAACACAACGGAAAGCGACCGGCUCUAAGCACGACGGUUACUGGUCGAGGACGGCGAGAAUGAUUUGCAAGGCCAAAGUCUUAUCGGGUGCCCUGCUCCAUCUCAGCCACUCUGUUGCUUGAUUCAAUGGUUGACCUCUCGGUGACGGCGUAGGUGCGCAAAGAUACGAGCGUGCCUAUUGCUCGAGUGGUUUGAUCGGAGGACGAGCAGUUCGUUGCUCAUAGACACAGUUAUACGAUUGUCGACCUGGCUUUCCAGGUCUUCAACUCAAUGGGGCUCACUCUCAUUCAGCA